This 400-nucleotide ribosomal RNA is filed under the name uncultured bacterium. Its description in RNAcentral is "bacterial SSU rRNA". It matches the Rfam family "Bacterial small subunit ribosomal RNA", at positions 356 to 773 of the family's 1533-position model. The record is from RNAcentral.
GGGGAAUAUUGCACAAUGGAGGAAACUCUGAUGCAGCAACGCCGCGUGAGUGAUGAAGGUCUUCGGAUCGUAAAACUCUGUCUUAUGGGACGAUAAUGACGGUAGCCGAGGAGGAAGCUCCGGCUAACUACGUGCCAGCAGCCGCGGUAAUACGUAGGGAGCGAGCGUUGUCCGGAUUUACUGGGUGUAAAGGGUGCGUAGGCGGCGCCGCAAGUCAGGUGUGAAAACUAUCGGCUUAACUGAUAGACUGCAUUUGAAACUGUGGCGCUUGAGUGGAGCAGAGGCAGGCGGAAUUCCCGGUGUAGCGGUGAAGUGCGUAGAGAUCGGGAGGAACACCAGUGGCGAAAGCGGCCUGCUGGGCUUUAACUGACGCUGAGGCACGAAAGCAUGGGUAGCAAAC